CAGUCGCCGCGGUAAUACGAAGGGGGCUAGCGUUACUCGGAAUUACUGGGCGUAAAGGGCGCGUAGGCGGCACGAUUAGUCAGGCGUGAAAUUCCUGGGCUCAACCUGGGGACUGCGCUUGAUACGGUCGAGCUAGAGGAUGGAAGAGGGUUGUGGAAUUCCCAGUGUAGAGGUGAAAUUCGUAGAUAUUGGGAAGAACACCGGUGGCGAAGGCGGCAACCUGGUCCAUUACUGACGCUAAGGCGCGACAGCGUGGGGAGCAAACAGGAUUAGAGACCCCCGUAGUCCCUGUCUCUUAUAC
This 301-nucleotide ribosomal RNA is filed under the name uncultured bacterium. Its description in RNAcentral is "partial 16S ribosomal RNA". It matches the Rfam family "Bacterial small subunit ribosomal RNA", at positions 509 to 807 of the family's 1533-position model. The record is from RNAcentral.